Molecule: non-coding RNA, 242 nt
Organism: Parasteatoda tepidariorum (common house spider)
Lineage: Eukaryota; Metazoa; Arthropoda; Arachnida; Araneae; Theridiidae
Source: RefSeq, a predicted model, not a curated record
GAGGUAUUCAAAGCAUUUUUCAUUCUCUCCCAGGUUGUUUCAUGAUUACUCAAGUUGAUCAAGGUUUUCCAGGAGUUGAAUUAUUGCAAGAAGCAACACAGUGAAGAUGAGUCCUACAAGUUGUUUCAUGAUUACUCAAGUUGAUCAAGGUUUUCCAGCAGUUGAAUUAUUGCAAGAAGCAACACAGUGAAGAUGAGUCCUACAAGUAAUUAAUAUUAUGAUAGAAAUAUUGAUAAGUAUAA